CAACAAUAAUGCAUUAUCAACAGUGACGUACAAUAAUUUCCUAUCUUAUAGUAGUAGUCGGUCCUUUCUUUACAUCAAAUUUUUAUAAAUGGAAACAAAUGCUAAAAAAAUAACCCACAUAUUUUUACCAUCUAGACAUUAUUUAUGAGAUACGUAGUUCCGUGAGCUUAAUUCGGUCGAUAAUGACAUUGCAUUAACUCUAUCAAGAUGAUUGAUUAUAAAAAAAAAAAAACUCUAUCAAGAUGAUUAUGUGAUCAUCAUUAUCAUAAAGUAUAUACAAAU
RNAcentral lists this long non-coding RNA (282 nucleotides) under Trifolium pratense (red clover). Its description in RNAcentral is "long non-coding RNA (TPRA_LNC004959)". The record is from RNAcentral. Lineage: Eukaryota; Viridiplantae; Streptophyta; Magnoliopsida; Fabales; Fabaceae.